UUUUUUUUUUUUUUUUGAUAAUUCCCUGAGAAUUCUUAUAUCUGAGAAAAAAAUACUAACAAGAAAUUAAACAAAAACUUUUGGGACAGGAAAAAAAAGGCUCACUCCUAAAUAUUAAGAAAGAGAAAACUCCCACUAGUAUCAAGGACUUGCCUAAUUCGAUAACCACAUAAUUUUGUCAACCAAAAUUUUAGUGCCAUACCUUUUGAGUUUUAAAUUGAAUUAGUAUAAUACGAUAGUGCAUAAAGGGUACGUAACGGGCGUCUAAUUAUUAUGUUUGUUUUUUCAUUGACAAUCAUUCUGAAUUAUACAAUAAUUAUUUAGUAACUUUAAAACCAUUUAUUGGUCUUGGUGAAAUUUUUUUUGAAAUUUUAGAACCAACAAAAUAUUUUUUUUAAAAAAGGCAAAUCAACCAUCGACUUAUUUUUGUUUCCUUUAAGAGAUACUCUUUUUUUUUUUUUUCUAUAACAUAAUGCCAGAAGUAUAUAUGUUGUACCAUUCACACAUGCCUACUCGUGGACAUUUGAUUAGCUGCAUCUGAAUGGAUCAAUCCUCAUCUUAACCUGUGGAAGCCCCAUUUUCUUCGAAGAUAAUUUCUCUCUGUCUUUGCCUAUUGGGCCGAUGGAUUGAUACCUUGACAAAACCAGGCCCCAAAGCCCAGAAUUCCGUCAUUCUCUUGUCCUGUUCGUUACGCAGAAAAAUACGAAAACUGGAACAUGGAACGUAAAGCCAAACUGAAAAUUGUGGUCCUAAAACGGCUCCAGUGCUUGAUUUUUCUCGCGCGGGGCCCUAAGACCGAGGUCCACCUUCUAGACCCGACGUGGCAAUGCAGUCUUGCCUUGGUGAUUGAUUUCCACGUCUUUCCCUAGAGGUGGCAAUAUGGAUAAAUGGUUCAUAAUUAGUUUUGACUUAACGGAUGGUGGAUGAAAUUUAUUCAAUCCAUUUAGAUCCAUUUAAUAAAUGGAUCUAAAUGGAUUAAAUAAAAACCAAUUAUCCAUUUAUAAUCCAUUUAAAUAUUUUGAUAACUUUUUUUUUUGUCAGAUCCCUCGGUAUGCAAUAGUCACUUUGGGUCCUGACUAAUCCUGAGUUGAGCUGGGUUGCACCCCAUAAGAAGCGCAAGCUCUACCCAUAAGAGUUGCAGUGCUUAUGGUAAAGGCUUUUUUAGGUGCUAAAAGUAAAAUGUUUGGUGAAUAUCAUCCCAUAAAAUUAGGAAUAAAGUUUUUGGUGUUAAAAACACUUUUAGCAAAAGGUUAAAUUUGGUACUUUUAUAGUAGCUUUUGUGAUUUAAAAAAUAAAACAUUGAAUUUAAUUAUUUUAUCCUAUAUUAUGAACUAAAUAAAGAGAUAAAUACAUUUAAAAAAUUUUAAAUUACAUAUUAUCCAAUACAAUAAGUAUUUAUUGAACUAUAUCUCCAAAUAAUAUAUUUUAAAGCAUUUAAAUACUUAAUAAAUACUUUUAUUAAAAACUUUAUUGAAAAAUUACUUUUUAAUAAGUUAUUGUAACUCCAAACAGGCCCUUAGUAGAAGGCAAAUAACAUGUGAUUAUUAAGCAACUAAACGGAAAAAUCUACAAAAAAAAAAAAGAAAAAGACGAAUAUAUACUGAACGAAGUACAAGACAAUAACAAAAAAAGAUUCUUCUCAAAUUUAACUGACUCAUAGAGGCCAGUUGUCAAUAUGUGUUUCUAGCUCCACUUCUUUCUUGUGAAAGCGAUGAUGUUCUCUAGUUUUGUGGGCCCACAAUGAUGACGCUUUCUGGAAGGAAAGAAGUUGUUCGUCAGUCCUGGAUCCGUCUUCCCAUUGCAUUCUAUUUUGCUAAAUGGAUUUAUAUGGAUCAAGUGGAUAAUCCAUGUAAAUCCAUCAAUUUAAUUGGUUUUAAAUGAUUAUCCAUUUAAAGUCAUCAUCCUUUUUUUAGUCAUCCAAAUUCAUUUAAACUUGGUUUAUAUGGAUGGAUAAAUGGAUUUGAAUUCAUUUUGCCACCUCUAUCUUUCCCUUAAAAAUGCAAAUUUAUACUCCACCUGUGGAAACGGUAACGGCUAGUAAGCUCACAUAGGAUUCUCAGUGUCAUUUUUCAGUGGCAAUUCAGUGUCACUUCUAUAUUUAUGUCAAAUGUUUUGUUUAUUUAAUUUAUCAUGUGUUGUUUAUUUAAAUUUCUUCUACCAUCACGUGAUAAGUGGGAUUGGCACCGAGUAGUGACACAGAGGAUCCCAACUGUAGUAAGCCUAAGAAUUUGAUUUCAUUUUACUAUCAAAACACUACUGGCUUUGAAGUAUACCGCCCACUAUUUUAUUCUCCAAUUCUUUUCUCACGAUUAUUCUAUUUGGAUUUCUUUCACUUUUUGAAAUUCUGAUCUUUUGCAUUGCAUCCGCGACCAAAAAUUCUGUUUUUGAUUCUCAAUGAUGUUCCUCUAUGAAUUAAGUUAAUGUGUUAAUUUGAAAGAGACGACAUACUUGUUCUUCAACUGCUACGCUGCUACGCUGAUCAAUGUGCACCUGUAAUACUUGACAAGUGUCACAGCUCACUUCACAAAAGAAUCCUUUCUUUGAAAAAUGGAAUGCAUGUUUUUCGCAUUUUCUCUGGUUUGUACAAUGUUAGAAUAGAGCCGUUCGGUUUAACGGUUAAAAGUUGACUUUCUUAUAUGUCCUGAGAGGAUCAUUAGAGGGCAAAAAUUAUUUCCUUUUUUUGGUUUUGUUAAUUUCAUAAAAAGGCAGUACAUAUUUUCUCCUGCGUACAAUGAAGGCAAAUUUGAUAGAGAAUUAUGCGUCAAUAUUUUUUUCUCAAAUUUUAAGGAAGUUUUUCUUGAUAAGGGCUGAAAUAUCUAUAAAAAUGUCAUUGAAGGAGAGGUUUUCAAUGUUAAAGGGCAUUGAAGUGCAAUCGUUAGAAUAGAAACCUGGAGCGAGGGACGUUUCUGAAAUUAUCCCAUAAUAAUAGGAAAACGGGAGGAGAUGAUGAUACACGUACGGUUCAAAUGCACGUGACGUGACCGUAAUACCAUAAAUCCAAAAUUCCAAAUGUGUGUGUAACAUUUGAUUUUUCCACUUUCAAUAAACGAUUAGUAUUUGUUUCUUCUGGUCCCGCCAUUUCACUCCUGGCAGAAGCGUGUUUGCUUGGCCGUCUUUUUUCCCCACUGCCUCGGAAAAAUUUUUAGCCGCCAAUGACUAAAUUUUUUAGCCACCAUACGAGUACGUCGCGGAAAGGCUAGUGUGCAUUGUUAAUCAGAAUUCAAGUACACUGGCGGUAUUGCUUGGCAGUUCUUGAAUUGGCACUUCCCCUCCGGCCUCCACUCCACGGGGAUCUAAAUUCCCUGAGAUGGCGAGCUGCCAUCUGCUACGACUCUCGGUUGUCUCUACUUCCACAAGACCUUCAAAACUCAAGCACGAAAUCUUCAACAGCAGAAGAAUCAACCCAGCUGCGAGAUACCACUGCCACUCCUCUCUGUCUCUGAAUCUAAAAUCAACAUCUUUCCACUGCGACCGCAAACUCCAGAAGAGGACUACUUUCCUACUGAACUCUGCUUUAGGAUUAGGCGGCUCCAAUACAAGAACCCAUUUCUCAUUUUCUGCAGCAAAUAAAACCUCGUGCCAUGUCAAGCUCAGAGCCACAGCAGUUCCUGAUAAUAUGCGGGCGAGUCCGCCAAGCCGAAUGACGAGCUGCUGAAGACUUUGCAGCUCGGGGUGAUGUUCGUAGUCUGGUACUCGUUGAAUAUAUACUUCAACAUUUUCAACAAGCAGGUUCCCUUUUCUUCUUUGCUUUGGAUAUCUUUAAUUCUUUUUCCCAUAUUGUAGUAACAGCAGAAGUAGUAAUUUUCUUCUAUGGUUAUGCUCAUGUCAUUAGCUUCACUCGUGGAAUGUGUGUUUCAUUUUCUGUAAACAAACGACUUUUAUAAGUGCAUUGCAGGUUUUGAAGGUAUUUCCACACCCAACAACAGUUUCAGCAUUCCAAUUUGGUUGCGGAACCAUGCUUGUACUCUUUAUGUGGGCACUGAAUCUCCAUAAAAGGCCGACGAUCAGCAGAUCUCAGGUAGGUGUGCUCUGCUGUUUUUCUUUUGAUUUUAGUUCCUUAUUUGACCUUGAUGACACUUGAAACUUUCAAUCUUUUUGUCACUGGUAAAGAUUAUACAUGUGCACAUUGUUUUGUAUGUUUCAGUUUGAAGCAAUAUUCUUGCUGGCUGCGGGGCACACUGUGGGGAACCUCCUAACCAACAUCAGUCUUGGAAAAGUAGCGGUUUCUUUCACUCAUACCAUCAAAGCCAUGGAGCCUUUCUUCACUGUACUUCUUUCUGUCCUCUUUCUUGGCGAGGUAUAUACCAACUUUAAUUCUCACCUCUUCAUUGGUUAAUGUUGUCAACCGGGUUAGUAACUAUGAUGUCGCUGUUUAGCACGCCCAAGAAGCCAGUAGUGAGACUUGCGGUUUCUUCUCCUUUUGGUUCACUUCAGUGUUGUAAAUAGUCGGUUGCGUUUGUUCUAGGUGCCAUGUUUUGAACAUAUCCCAGACUCCAGUCAUGUGACUAGAGAAGCAUCCUUCAUCUUGCCCUGUUUGUUGUGCUUUACUUCUUUUUGAAUCAAAUGGCCACUAUUUCCUUACCAUUUUCAUUUUUUGGGCUGAAGACCCUAACUUUAAGCUUGGACAUAAAUUUCACAGCGGCCAUCUGUCUGGGUAGUUGCUUCCCUGGUGCCUAUAGUUGGAGGAGUGGCAUUGGCAUCAUUCACGGAGACAUCUUUUAAUUGGUACGACCUUGUCACAAUAGAAGAACAUAAAAUGGGGUGCACAUCACAUAUUAUUAUGUUCUGGUUUAAUAAUUUGAAUAUCUAAACCAGGAUAGGCUUUGGGAGCGCAAUGGCCUCCAAUCUGACCAAUCAAUCACGUAAUGUCUACAGCAAAAAGGUCAUGGUAAAGGAGGUAUGGUCCAAUGCCAGUUUGGCGAGAAUUUGUCAUCAUGUCUGCAUUUGUGCAGUUCUGGUUUAAUAUUCUUGAUCAACAGUGUAAUUUUUCAUCCUUAAACAGUGGGUACAGUGAAAUCUCCCUGUUUACCAUGCUUUCGCAUAAGAUUCUUGGUUCGUAUUAUACCCAAUAACCAGCAGGCCUGUUGAACAGGACGCUUUGGACAAUAUCAAUCUCUUCUCUGUCAUGACUAUCACUUCAUUUAUCCUUCUGGUACCCAUUACUGUUUUGAUUGACGGGAUCAAGCUUAGUCCAUCGUACCUUCAAUAUGCUGUAAGUAAUAGUAACUUUUAAGGAAGAGUUUUUAGGGCUUUACAUUGCCAUCUUUCUCCAAUAGCUCUCCAUACGUCGUUUUGAAUGCCUUGUGUUCAGGCGAGUCAGGGCUUGAAUGUUAGAGAAUUUCUGGUGAGAUCUCUGUUAGCUGGUUUCUGCUUCCACAGUUACCAACAGGUAUGAUCCUCCCUGUUUUACAACAUCCUCUUUUUUCUCUUUCAGAAUUGCAGAUACUACACGAUUAUCUAUCCCAUGUUCUUGAAUAAAUUCUUUAAAUUUGGCAAUAAAGAUUGUUGCCGCAUUAAAAUCCAAAGCAGUCUAGAUUCGAACUUCCAAAUUGAAGCUGAUAGUCUUGAGGUUUACUUUAUUUUUAUCAAAUAACGACUGAAGCACCGGAAAAGGAUGAGCAAUUUAAUGAAAUCUCGUUCGUUUGACGUAUCAGUCGCAACAUUUGUUCUCGUGCACUCCAAUAUCACCUUCAUGUCUAAAUCAGUGUGAAUCCCCAUGUAAGGAUCUUACAUGAUACUUCAACUGGUGCAGAUUUCUUACAUGAUACUUCAAAUGGUGUCACCAGUGACUCAUUCAGUAGGCAACUGUGUGAAGCGGGUUGUGGUCAUUGUAUCCUCGAUGAUCUUCUUCCAACAUCUGCCUCAACAAUAAACGCCCUUGGUAAAUUCUCUUUGCUGCUUAUAAUAUUUGUAGUGUUUUUUCCGUUUCUGUUCGUGAGAGCUUGUGUUGGAGGCUUUUUUUUUUGGGAUACUAACUUGCUAUGGUCUGGUUUUUGCUUGAGAAAAAUUUGCUGACGGAUGAUCUAAUGCCGCUCUUGCUGAGUUUCAGGAACUGGUAUUGCUCUUGCUGGAGUCUUUCUAUAUUCAAGGGCAAAGCGAAUAAAAGCACGCCUAAGGUCGCAUGAAGUAUUAAAAAAAAAAAAUAUACAUGAAUAACGCAAGUGGAAUUUGGACGCAGAUUGCACUGCACCAACUGAAGAAGGGAGGUUCUCUGGUUUUUCAUUUUCUUGGAAAAAUAAAGACAAUACGUCAGCUGGAAAUAGCACUGGGACUUCCACAUUCUGUUGUAAUAGCCUGAAAUGUCCCAAGGUAGACGUAAAACGGCAUUAGUCUUCGAGCCCAACAUCAUCAAUCAAAUAAACAUGAAUUUGCAUGUAUAUGCGCCAGCCCAUUCAUUUACAGGAUAUCAAAACAAACGAGGCUCUGGCGCAUCUUUCCUCGCUAAUUUGGACAUAUCCCUGUUCACCCUUUUUCCCAGGGCACGAUUAGCUAACAAAAAAUUAGACCCUCGUCAUAUGGUUCCAAUCACCAAGAUUUGUGAAAAGACAAAUAACAGGCAUCCUCAUUCUUCAGUCACUAACUCCCUAACAUGAGCUACAAAAGAGUCAUGCAAGUUUGAUACUAGAUGCAUAUAAUCAGGGACAUCAGACACAGUUAUUUGUUCCUGGGAAACAGCCCGUCUUCAUCGUGAGGCGCCAAAGCUUCUUCAGCUUGAAUCAUUCCUUCCUCUUCUUCCUCCCCAAUAUGCAAAUUUGAUUGAUUAUCCUGCCGCUUAACUGGUGAAUGCCCCCAUUGCUGCUCACAUGAACCUCCAACGUUCUCCCUCUCAGAACCAUGGGAUGGAGACUGCAAGCUCCCCAAUGAUUGUCUGAAUCUUCUUUUGAUUUACUUCCAUUGAAAGACGGGAAAUCAAGAUCACCAAAUUUUGGAGGUGAACGGGCCCGUUGCAUCAUAGCUUCAUGAAAACUACGUACUGGUGGAGCCUGAUCAAACCUGUCAGCACUGCGGCUACGACUUUGGCCCUUGCUUCGGUUGUCACCCCAACCAGAUCCACGGAUGGGGCUUCUACUCCGACUACGACUUUUACUUCGACUAUGCUUCUGAGUCAUUUUUUCAUGAAAGCUUCCGUAAUAGCUUCCUGAGGCUUCAACAUCACGGGAAUUGCGACCAUACCUCUCACUGGAUGAAGAGAAAAAGACCAAAAAGGCAGUGUCAAAAAGCAACGGCAGCAAUAAAUGCCACCUCAAAGGCAGCAGCAAGAGAGAUGGGCAGAGAAUUUCACCUUGGACCUUACUAAACAACACAGAACAAAAUGAAAAAGUCAGAGACCUGUCACGAGGAGUCCCGGUCACAACCAGGUCCACCUCCUCUUUCAGAUGAGUUUGCCCAACUGCCUCGUCCGUCUCUGCUACUGUAAUCAGAAUCAUAACGGCCACCUCGACCACCAUCACGUCCACCAGGUCCAGAUCCCCAACGCCUAGACCUUCCCAUUCCACCACCACGUAAAGCCAUAUCACGGAUUUCGACAGGAACACGUUGGUUGGCACCUUCCAGAACUUUGACAAGAUCAGAAGCAUACUUAGCAUCCUGGUCACCAAAAAAUGUGUACGCCACCCCAGUGGCACCUGCCCUUCCAGUCCUUCCAAUUCUAUGAACAUAGUCCUCAAUUCCAGUGGGGAAGUCAUAGUUUAUCACCACCUGAGAGGUAAACCAUCCCACAAUCAUCAUGUAAAAAGUUUGUAUUCACACAUCACAGCAACCAAAAAUUGUAAAAAUAAAAAAGCUAAAUGGCUACAAUUUAAUAUCAAGAUCAAAAUCUGGCCCUCCAAACUUGAGCUGACAGUCAUCUACUCACUCAUGCAACAUAAAAAACUCAUGCAAUUGUAACCCCCAAAAAAAAAUCCAGCAACAUCAGUGGCUACAAACCUGAUAUCUUUAAUAUCUAGGCCACGAGCAGCAACAUCAGUGGCUACAAGGAUUGGAGAUCUACCAUUCCGAAACUGGCUCAAGACAAAAUCCCUCUCGCUCUGGGAUUUGUCCCCAUGAAUAGCAGCAGCUCCAAACUGGCGGGUUAGGUUGCGUGCAAGUUGAUCACACAUCUUCUUAGUUGAACAAAAAAUGAUUAUCUUUGAUCCCGGUUCUUGAGAUCGCAAUAUCUGCUCCAACCGUCGGUGUUUCUCCAUUGAUGAUAAGAGUCAACAUGCUGCAUUUGAAAAAUGAGAUGAAUUAUGAAUAAAAAUAACAAAAAUUGCCAAUAAACCAAGAAUCUGCAAAAAGAAAAUAAUAUUGUAGCAAUUUGUGAGAUUUGAUGUACAUGAGAUAAAAGGAUAAUUGGAAAACAUUUUUAUAGAAUAUUCCAAAAACACAUCAUAUCCGAACGCCAUAGAUUCAUGGGUCAUAAACCAGCCUGUGGGCUAGGAGUUGUGGCAGGGAAAAAGAUGUUACUAGUUAUUAUAUAUCACUAAAGAUAAUUACCUGGGUGAUAGACUUGUUAGCUACGAGCUCAUCAACAUUCCCAAUGUUCACCUGAACUGGAUUAACAAGGAGAUCAGCAGCAAUUUUCCGAACCUCCUUAGGCCAAGUGGCAGUGUACAUCAAGGUCUGCCUUCGAGUUGGCACCUCCUUCACAAUUUUCCUUAUCUGAGGCUCAAAUCCCAUGUCCAACAUGCGGUCAGCCUCAUCUAGUACCAAAUAUGAGACUUGAUCCAGGCUAACUCUUCUCAUCUCCAGAAUAUCAUUCAAUCGGCCAGGAGUAGCCACAACGACAUCCACACCCCUAUCUAUCUCCUUUAGUUGAGGUCCUUUCGGAGCACCUCCAUACAAGCACUUAAAAGCAGAAGAAAUUCAAGUUUCAGCACUAAUUCUCUGCAAUAAUAAUAACAUACAAAAGAAAUGGCAUAGGAGAGAAAAAUUGCACAGGCUGGUGUGAACAUAGCACCUAAUCACUUGCUCAUUAUUUGUAGUACCAAGCAUAUAACACUGGCAAUAAAUGUUAUACAUGUUACUUGUUUUUUGAGUUUCUUCACAUUCAUAAUUUGAUUUGCAUUUGUGCAAAACAAAAAAAAAUCCCUGAUCAAAAUUUCAUCAUACCGUGCAAGAUAUCCUUGAUGAUUUUCCAAAUUUUAUAGCUUCAUCUUGUAUUUGAGUCGCCAAUUCCCUUGUUGGUGACAGCACCAAAACAGUAGGACCCAACUGAGGAUUGUUGUGUCUGCGCUUUAGAUGAAUAAAACCAGGAAUCAGAUAACCCAACGUUUUCCCAGAGCCUGUCUUGGCAAUUGCUACAAUAUCGCGACCUUGAAGAGCAAUUGGCCAUGAUUGUGCCUGUAUUGGAGUAGGGGCAGAGAACCCAGCAUUGUAUACCUGGAAAAGCAAAGAAAAAUCCGCACCCCUAUAAGCAGAGGUACUGACUGCCCUCAAGAUUUCUGUUUGGUUCAUUUUUGACUUUAUGCAAGUGGCCCAUCCAAGAAGAAGCAUCAUCCCCCAAAGUAUUGGCAGCUAAUGCUUGCUGCCGCAAGCAACAAAAGGAGGACACCUCUUCUUCUGUUCAGACCAAGUGGCAGACUGAAUCAUCACCAACAGCAGUCCGCCACGAACUUAGAUGAUUCGGAAAGCCCUUCACAAAAAUUGGCCCACCGAAUAAAGGCAGUCUGAAUUUAUGCGAGCCCCCAAAGGAGGGCAACACAAUGUACGACAUUUAGCUCCUCCCUGGAGCAAAUAUCGCACCUACGACAAAAAGUACAGAUGCAAAAAAAGAUGCACGUGAGCCCCGGAGUUCAACGUGGACCUCCAGCAAUCACAGGACUUAUUUACAGAAUAAUUUAUUAACAUUGCAAAAAUUUAGAUAGGGUUCUGGUCAAGGACACAUGAAAAGGAAAAAUAGACACGUACCUCUCUCAGAAUCUCAGAUGGAAAACCAGUGGAAUCAAAUAAUGUCAAAGGUGGGGCACAUUGUCUCCCUGGUAUAUUGGACAGAGAAAAACGGUCACAAAGACGUAACACUUACCAUAUACCUCAGCUUUCAAUAGGAAAGAAGACAACUAUGAACAAAACUUUUAAUAGAGAAUCACAUGCUAAGGAAUAAUUGCCCUAAAAUUACACUUGCUAGCAUAGAGUAAUUAAAUGCAAAUGUAAUUGUACACACUUAACAAGGAAGUAAAAAAGGUCUUCAAGUUUAACUUGUAGAUGCAAUAUUAUUGAAUCAUUUAUUUGAAUUACACAGUGGCUCAUUAAUAUUUGUCGCAGGCAACUAUGAGCGAACCUUAACAACAACCUAAGUCAGAUAAAGAUAAAAAGGAAUUGAUGCUAAAAGAUGCAUCAAGUGAACCUAGGGCUCUGCACAAUCAAUUCAGCCCCACAACUUAUGAAUUAAGCCAGGGACCCACAGCUGAGCCCGAUUCCUCCCCUUCGUAAAUUGCAUUGAAAUCUUGGUGGACUAUAAAUAACUAAUUGAACAAAAACACAUAAGCAAAAUGUUAUGCACUUAAUGCUUACUGUUACACUUAUUUCAUGCCGACGACGAUAGGCCUCUCCAGAUAAGCCAGUUCCUGCACUUGAUGAUGAGUAUCCCUUCACACCACCAGUGCCCACUGUUACAUUUGCAACAUCACGAGGAUGAUAUGGUCCACUAUGCAGAUCCUAAUGCAAAAUAAUGAAAGUCAUUGGGUGACUUCACAAGAGCAGGCUAAGAAUUAUCAUGAAUAUCUAUGCUUUAAGUAAAUUAAAAAAAAAAAAACCUGAGAACUUCCAACUCCAGAGAAAACCUUCAUUGAAGCACCAUUACCCUCUGCUGUAUCUAUCAUCAUCAUCUAUGGGACUACUCUCACGGCGUUGUCCUUGAGAAGAUUUUUGAACAUGAACAGAUGAACUAAGUGGUUUAUGCAGCGGAGCAGAUCCCACAUGCGAAGAGGAAACAGGCCUCUCAUAUUGCGUAACAUUGGUCUCCGGAUUCCAAAAGUACAGAUAUCCAGUCUUACCAUCAACUAGGCCUCUCCAAGGUUUGGGGAGGGUAGGGUCCUCUGGUGCAUACCGUAUGCCUGCAGAGACAGUAGCAGUAGCCGCCAUUCUCAAGAUUUGUUCUUAAAAACAGAUUCCUUCCGAACUGUGCAGCUGGCAAGAGCUUUAAUGAAAAAAGUUUUCAAUGAGGUUUAGAGAACUAAAUGACCCUAAAGGCAAAAAACCUACAAAAUGCUUAAACAUCAUGGCAGUAGAAGAUGAGUAUAACUUACUUUGAACCAGUACGAAACACAUGGAUGAGAAUAAAAACACAAUUUACAGAAAACACAAACAGCUAAAAAAAUGAUAAUCGAGCUUCUACAUACUACAGCUAAAUCCAAAGUCAAUUGAGCCACCACAACCUUAGAAAUAAAACGGGAAACUAUUGAAAUUCUUGUUAACGACAAUAAGAAAUUUUCAUCACAAGCCAAAUGAUGAUAAAACUCGAAGCAACUCCAUUUUCAUAUCAUCCAAAGCAUUAGCAGAUAUAGGCGAAUAAAAUAAACCACAAGAAUGCCAUCUUAUACCCGCGUCUACACGUAAUCAAUACAAUCAACACACAUUUACAACUCUCCUGCAUGAACUCUACCGCAUGUACAUGCAACCAAGCCAAAUCAUAGGGAGAAUCAAAAGAAACAAUUGAAGAGAAAGGAUGACAUAAUUUGAAAUUAGAAAACCCUAACUUAAACAAAAGUUUCAUGCCUUUGCAAUCUGGAUACCCAGAAGCAACAUGCAAAGAGAACUCCUGAUCCGUGUGCCUAGAACAGAUGUGAUUGCCUGUGCCUACGAUUGCAGUAACAUAAAGAACGACCUCUAUCAGAUCUGUUUACCCUAGAAAUGAAAGAUUAGGGUUGCAGGAAAUCACCUGACGACGUCGGUUCGGGAGUUAAAAGGAGUGGGACCUCGGAGACCAAUGCAAAAGAAGCGGCUAGAAAUGCUCCACUUUCUCCGACCGACCUUGUUUUUCUCUCCCUCCCUCUCUCUCUCUCUCUUAAUAUGAAAACAGAUUUAUCAGUAAAAUGGACUUUGCGCCGACAGAGAGAACUACGCUUCCGAAGAAGGAGAAGCGUAGGUUAGAAAGAGGAAAGUUCAAGCAUGUCAAUGGAUAUUUAAAGCGGCAAAGCCCCCAGGCGUGUCAGCUAGCCGGUCUUAAAUCGAUGACGUCACUACUACAAUUUUUUAUAAACCUCCUUGAGGUUUUUAAUAAUUUCAUUUAGCACCUUGAGAUUUUAAAAAUUACACAUACCUCCCCCAUCAUUUAAAAUGAUAAUACUACCCUUAAAUAUUUUAAUGAAAUUCCCUUAUUUAAUAUGCUUAUAUUUAAAAUGACUUUUAAAAUUAUUUUUUCAUUCUUUGGUUCUUAUUCAUUUUUUUUAAUUUUUUUGCCAAUAAAACUGUAGAAUUACCGCUAUUACUCUAGUUUCUAUUGUAACCUAAUGUCGAACUAAUGAUUUGAUGAGUUAAAUUUAUAUGUAAUCCAAUAUUUUUGUGAUCUUUGUUUUUUAUUUUUUGGAUUAAAAUUAAUAAUAAAUAAAAAAGAAAUGACCCAAAGCCACUACUAAGUUAUGAUAAUCCACUACUAAAAAAUUCAUAAAUUCUAAAUGAAUUAUUUCAAUAUUUUCUUUUCUAUCUUAUAUGUUAAAUCCAUAAUAAAAUAUAUCAAAAGUAUCCUAUCAUAGUGAUAAAAUUAUUUAUUAUUAUUAUUAUUAUUAUUAUAGUUGUUUAUCAAAUAGUAGUUAUGGACAUGAAAUUUUGGCACAUUUUCCUUAUAAUCAUACUAGAUAAUCUUAUAAUUGUAUAGAAAAAAUAAAUUAAAACUCAUUACACAAGAGCAUUUUUGGUAUUCACUUAAAAUUUAAUCAAGUCAAUAUUAUUUUAAGAUUUUGUUACUAAAACUAUCAAAUCAAGGGGGUAAAUGUAAUUUUUAAACUCAGAGAACUCAAUAAAUUUAUCAAAAAUCUUAGAGGAGGUUUCUGAAAUUAUCCCUAAUUUUAAUGAGCUCUUUUAAAGUUUUAAAAAUUACAUUUACCUCCCUUAAUUUGACACUUGUGUAACCCAAUCUUAGAUUUGGUCAAAAUUUUAAAUGAACACCCUAAAAUACCUUAGUUUAUAAAGUUUAUAUUACUUUCUCAAACAGUUGUAAAAUAUAUAGCAAAAACUAAAGAAAAUGCAUCAAGUUUUCAAUACCUAUAUUUAUUAUUUAAUAAGUAAUUAUUACAAUAAUUUUAUCGCUACGAUAGGCUACUGUACAUGGUGCUUUACUUGUGAUACAUAUUUCUUCUAAAUUGGACAAGUAUUGUCAUAAUUCUUUUAGAGUUUGAGAAUUUUUAUUUGUUGAAACUGUCAUAUUUUAGUAGUAGUUUUGAACAAUUUCCCUUUCAAAUUAUUGUUGCUUUUGAUACAAAGAAAGAAAAAAGGUCAACAGUAAAAUUGGAUCACAUUAAAAGUUGUCAAAAAAAGAUCACUACUUCAACAUCUGGAAUUGAUAGCGACUAGAGUUUGUGCUCAUAGUUUUAUAAUUUUACUUGCAAAACAUAAAAAAAAAAAAGAUGAAAAUGAAAAGAAAAAAUAAUUAUAAAUUCCAUUUUCUCUAUAUGCAAUACCUAAUGUACAAGCGAAACUGACGUGUCAAGCUGAGACCAAACACAAGACGAGUUCAAAAUAAGAAGUGGUCAGGGCUAAAUCCCCCAUUUUAUGCCAAUGCUUAAAUUAGAAGUCGGAAGUUAUAUUGAGUGAGUUGGAUUGCAUACCUCUCAAGUGAGUAAGGUGCUGAUAUUUAUACUAAAGGAUAUAAAGGGUGGAAUAAUGAAGUUUAUUAGUAGUCUGAUCUCGUAUGUAUAAGACAUGGUGACGAUGUUAAUAAUAUGAUUAAAUUAUAGGGGUUAGCUAUCAUAUCAAUUAUUAGUCAUAUCAUAGUAAUAAACCGAGACUUUUAAUACCUCGCGCAAAUAAGUUUUCCGAGAUGAGUUCUCGGCGAAGAACAAUUGGGUCGAGGUAUCCUCCAACUCAUGUUAAGCGAGAUUUUUCCUUAGCCAAGGUGGCGGAGGCAUUCACACCCAACAAAGAAGUUUUACUAAAAUAGUAAGGUUAAUAUUGUCAUUUUGUUGGAUAAGAGAGUAGAUAUAAUUUUUAAAAUUUUGAGGGAACUCAUGAAAUUGUUAGAAAUCUCAACGGAGGUUUCUAAAAUUAUCCUUUUAUUUUCCCAACCCUAGUUAGUGCUUGACUCUCCCGAGUUUCAGCAAUGGUUUAAGCUUGAUCCAGGCUGGAUGCUUCCUCAAUGAUGAGUCCACAUGCCCCUCAAUUCCGCGUAAAGAUAAGCGGCGCUAGCUGAGAUUUUAACACUUUCCUCUUGCAUGAAUGAACGAUUAUACAUCCUUCCUUCUUUCUAGUUAGUAAUACUCCUUCCGUCCCACUUUGAUAGUCCUAUUUUUCUUUUUCGUCUGUCCCAAAUUGUAGUCUACUUCCCAAUUGAAGAAUGUAGGUGUAUUUUAAUUUUUCUAAAAUACCCUUAUCAAUAUAAGUAGUUGUUACUAUAAACCUACCCCAUUUAAUGAGAGUUAAUUCUUUUUUUACCAUCAAUUCAAAUUCCCAUAAAAUUGUACUUUAAUUAAUGUGAGGGUAUUUUAGAAAAAUAACUACCUAAAUUGAUUGUUCCAAUAAAGUUAACUACUUUUUCUUAAAUUGUGUGACAAGAAAAUCAGUACUAUCAAAGUAGGACGGAAGGAGUAAUUACCAGAACUAUCAUUUCUUAUUCGAUUCGCUUCAAGUAUUCGAUCAGGUAAAGCCACCAAAAUUUCACUCCUUUACCACAAAUCACGUAAAAUUUGGCAGAAUUCACAGGCGCUUGGUUCACUGUUUGACUUUUGUCUUGGUUAAUCCUAGUGUCGCGAAGGAGCAUCCCACCCAAAUAAUAAUAUAGUAAUAAUAAUAAUAAUGAUAGAAAAAUCAGUUGUCAUUUCUGUUUAAUUAAAAUAAUCUGCACUUGAGAUGUCCACAGGCAAUCAUCAUCUUGAUUGCCAAGUCACCCUGCAAUUGUUACUGCGAGGAGCUGGUAACGUUUGAAAUGACUGAUUUAGCAGGAAUUCCAAGAUACUUUGAUGUCACACGAAUUCCCCUUGGGCAUGAACAAGACCAUUAGCCAACCCUUCAUCAUGCAGAACAUCUCAUCCCGAGUCACGACCGAGAUACAUUGAUCAGUAAUUCCACCAAAUCAAGAGCUUGAUUUCAUCUAUUCCACUUUCGCUAAGAACUCGAGUCGAUUGCAGCUGAUCAAUUUCGGAAUUUCCAUCUGCAGUCUGUACCCUUCCAUAUCUUUCCGUGCCCGGAAUGCCUAUCAGUUUGCUCUGUAGGACUUCAGCGUCACACACACACACACCCAUGUACGGUUCCAUUAAAUCAGCAAAAACCUAGUUGGGAACCACAUGAUUUCACACUCAGUCACCAUUCUAGCCCAUGGAUGUGAAUCCACUAGAACUUAGAACAUGCAUCCGGAGUGCAGAAUGUGCUUUACGAACCCUGAACUAGCUGAGGCAGCAAUGCAAUUGUAUAUCCAAUUAAAUCAGGCAUCAUAUUCUUUCGAAAGCAAAAGAACAGAAAGUGAACAGAACAAAAGUAAAUUCAACUGGAACAUUCACACAACUGUAAUGGUUUCACUUCAGGACCAAGCUUCAAUUGUAUUGUGGCAAUUAGCAACAAUGCGCUGAGCCUUACAUACAGGCACAAAAGGUUACAUAUAUUACUGACGUUAAUCAUCCAUGUAGACAAGAAUAGAACAGAAAGAAGAACAACAUCCAUACAGCACUGUUACAUUCUGAUUCUUCUGUCAACAUAUGAAGGACAA
This 15832-nucleotide long non-coding RNA is filed under the name Coffea arabica (coffee). RNAcentral's name for it is "long non-coding RNA (CARA_LNC008296)". Lineage: Eukaryota; Viridiplantae; Streptophyta; Magnoliopsida; Gentianales; Rubiaceae. The record is from RNAcentral.